RNAcentral lists this unclassified non-coding RNA (345 nucleotides) under soil metagenome. RNAcentral describes it as "partial contains 5.8S ribosomal RNA, internal transcribed spacer 2, and large subunit ribosomal RNA". The stretch from base 1 to 120 matches the Rfam family "5.8S ribosomal RNA", at positions 35 to 154 of the family's 154-position model. The record is from RNAcentral.
GAUGAAGAACGCAGCGAAAUGCGAUACGUAAUGUGAAUUGCAGAAUUCAGUGAAUCAUCGAGUCUUUGAACGCACAUUGCGCCCCCUGGUAUUCCGGGGGGCAUGCCUGUCCGAGCGUCAUUGCUGCCCUCAAGCACGGCUUGUGUGUUGGGCCUCUGUCCUCCUCCCGGGGGACGGGCCCGAAAGGCAGCGGCGGCACCGCGUCCGGUCCUCGAGCGUAUGGGGCUUCGUCACCCGCUCUUGUAGGCCCGGCCGGCGCUUGCCGACACAUCAAUCUUUUUUCCAGGUUGACCUCGGAUCAGGUAGGGAUACCCGCUGAACUUAAGCAUAUCAAUAAGCGGAGGA